GAAGGAGCUUGAGAGUAUCUGCGAUCCUAUCAUCGCCAAGAUACACCAGGCCAGAAUGCUGGUCCUGACAUGAGUGGUAGCAUGGAUGAAGAUGACCCUUCAACUGGGUGGCAGUGAUACUGGUCCUAAAGCUGAAGUUGAAUACGUUGGCAGCCUGAGCAAGAUGUGCUGUUGGGAAAUGUACUUUAGUGUGUUACAAGUUUAUUUUCACUUCAUGUUAUUGUGGAG
RNAcentral lists this unclassified non-coding RNA (228 nucleotides) under Hevea brasiliensis (rubber tree). Lineage: Eukaryota; Viridiplantae; Streptophyta; Magnoliopsida; Malpighiales; Euphorbiaceae. The record is from RNAcentral.